GGCUAGGAGGCUGCUCUCUCACCUGCCCUCAUCACGCCAUGAGCGUCCCUCCUGAAACUGUGCUCUCAGUGUAAGAGGGUGACUUUCCUCCAUGGAGGUACCUCUAAGGGUAUAUGAGGGUAUAUUCCCCUGUUAGAGUCUCCAAACAAGCUCUCAAGAAUGCAUGUGGUCUAAAUGAUUAUGUUAUAAUAUGUCAUAUAGAUAGAUAGAUAGAUAGAUAGUUAGUUU
RNAcentral lists this small nuclear RNA (228 nucleotides) under Neogale vison (American mink). RNAcentral describes it as "Neovison vison (American mink) 7SK RNA (ENSNVIG00000006660.1)". It matches the Rfam family "7SK RNA". Rfam says of the family: 7SK was discovered as an abundant small nuclear RNA in the mid-70s but a possible function has only recently been suggested. Two independent studies have found that 7SK RNA binds the CDK9/cyclin T complex (known as elongation factor P-TEFb). The record is from RNAcentral. Lineage: Eukaryota; Metazoa; Chordata; Mammalia; Carnivora; Mustelidae.